This 612-nucleotide ribosomal RNA is filed under the name uncultured fungus. Its description in RNAcentral is "eukaryotic LSU rRNA". The stretch from base 244 to 397 matches the Rfam family "5.8S ribosomal RNA". The record is from RNAcentral. Lineage: Eukaryota; Fungi.
CUUGGUCAUUUAGAGGAAGUAAAAGUCGUAACAAGGUCUCCGUUGGUGAACCAGCGGAGGGAUCAUUACAGAGUUGCAAAACUCCCUAAACCAUUGUGAACGUUACCUAAACCGUUGCUUCGGCGGGCGGCGCCGGGGUUUACCCCCCGGGCGCCCCUGGGCCCCACCGCGGGCGCCCGCCGGAGGUCACCAAACUCUUGAUAAUUUAUGGCCUCUCUGAGUCUUCUGUACUGAAUAAGUCAAAACUUUCAACAACGGAUCUCUUGGUUCUGGCAUCGAUGAAGAACGCAGCGAAAUGCGAUAAGUAAUGUGAAUUGCAGAAUUCAGUGAAUCAUCGAAUCUUUGAACGCACAUUGCGCCCGCCAGUAUUCUGGCGGGCAUGCCUGUUCGAGCGUCAUUUCAACCAUCAAGCCCCGGGCUUGUGUUGGGGACCUGCGGCUGCCGCAGGCCCUGAAAAGCAGUGGCGGGCUCGCUGUCACACCGAGCGUAGUAGCAUACAUCUCGCUCUGGGCGUGCUGCGGGUUCCGGCCGUUAAACCACCUUUUAACCCAAGGUUGACCUCGGAUCAGGUAGGAAGACCCGCUGAACUUAAGCAUAUCAAUAAGCGGAGGA